GCGCAGGAAAAGAAACCAACAGGGAUUGCCUCAGUAACGGCGAGUGAAGCGGCAAAAGCUCAAAUUUGAAAUCUGGCGCCUUUGGCGUCCGAGUUGUAAUUUGUAGAGGUAGCUUUGGGUGUACAGCCAGGUUUAUGUUCCUUGGAACAGGACGUCAUGGAGGGUGAGAAUCCCGUAAAUGACUUGGCCAGUGCCUAUGUAUAGCGCCUUCGACGAGUCGAGUUGUUUGGGAAUGCAGCUCUAAGUGGGUGGUAAAUUCCAUCUAAAGCUAAAUACUGGCGAGAGACCGAUAGCGCACAAGUAGAGUGAUCGAAAGGUGAAAAGCACUCCGGAAGGAGAGUUAAACAGCACGUGAAAUUGUUGAAAGGGAAGCGCUUGAGACCAGACUCAGGCAGGGUUGAUCAACCUCCAUUCUUGGUGGUGCACUCUUCUCUGCCCGGGCCAGCAACAGUUUCGGCGGUGGUAUAAAGGUUUAGGGAAUGUGGCUCUCUUCGGGGAGUGUUAUAGCCCUAUUCGUAAUGCUGCCAGUUGAGACUGAGGACCGCGCUUCGGCUAGGUUGUUGGCGUAAUGGUCUUAAGCGACCCGUCUUGAAACACGGACCAAGGAGUCUAACAUCUAUGCUAGUGUUUGGGUGGAAAACCCUUACGCGUAAUGAAUGUGAACGGAGUAGGAUCCCCGCAGGGGCGGACGAUCUACCGAUCGUGAUGUUCUCGGGUGGAUAUGAAAUCGUCAACCUGCAGGCAUGCAGGCUUGACUCUGGACAGUCGGUUUACACAUCUUGAGUGGGAAAGGAAUACCCGUGGAAGA
This 808-nucleotide ribosomal RNA is filed under the name uncultured Ascobolus. Its description in RNAcentral is "eukaryotic LSU rRNA". It matches the Rfam family "Eukaryotic large subunit ribosomal RNA", at positions 50 to 874 of the family's 3401-position model. The record is from RNAcentral. Lineage: Eukaryota; Fungi; Ascomycota; Pezizomycetes; Pezizales; Ascobolaceae.